UUAGGGUAUUAACCAUCACUUGUGGUGCUC
Molecule: non-coding RNA, 30 nt
Filed under: Mus musculus (house mouse)
Lineage: Eukaryota; Metazoa; Chordata; Mammalia; Rodentia; Muridae
Source: RNAcentral